RNAcentral lists this ribosomal RNA (459 nucleotides) under uncultured bacterium. RNAcentral describes it as "SSU rRNA". It matches the Rfam family "Bacterial small subunit ribosomal RNA", at positions 26 to 518 of the family's 1533-position model. The record is from RNAcentral.
AGAGCGAACGCUGGCGGCAGGCCUAAUACAUGCAAGUCGAACGGAUCCUUCGGGAUUAGUGGCGGACGGGUGAGUAACACGUGGGAACGUGCCCUUUGGUUCAGAACAACUCAGGGAAACUUGAGCUAAUACUGGAUAAGCCCCUCCCUUUGACCAGGGUGGUGGGAAAGAUUUAUCGCCAUUGGAGCGGCCCGCGUCUGAUUAGCUAGUUGGUAGGGUAAAGGCCUACCAAGGCUACGAUCAGUAGCUGGUCUGAGAGGAUGAUCAGCCACACUGGGACUGAGACACGGCCCAGACUCCUACGGGAGGCAGCAGUAGGGAAUCUUGCGCAAUGGGCGAAAGCCUGACGCAGCCAUGCCGCGUGAAUGAUGAAGGUCUUAGGAUUGUAAAAUUCUUUCAGCGGGGACGAUAAUGACGGUACCGCAGAAGAAGCCCGGCUAACUUCGUGCCAGCAGCCGC